RNAcentral lists this ribosomal RNA (468 nucleotides) under uncultured bacterium. RNAcentral describes it as "partial 16S ribosomal RNA". It matches the Rfam family "Bacterial small subunit ribosomal RNA", at positions 28 to 507 of the family's 1533-position model. The record is from RNAcentral.
GACGAACGCUGGCGGCGUGCUUAACACAUGCAAGUCGAACGGAAAGGCCCUGCUUUUGUUGGGUGCUCGAGUGGCGAACGGGUGAGUAACACGUGAGUAACCUGCCCUUGACUUUGUGAUAACUUCAGGAAACUGGGGCUAAUACCGGAUAGGAGCUCCUGCUGCAUGGUGUUGGUUGGAAAGUUUCGGCGGUUGGGGAUGGACUCGCGGCUUAUCAGCUUGUUUGUGGGGUAGUGGCUUACCAAGGCUUUGACGGGUAGCCGGCCUGAGAGGGUGACCGGCCACAUUGGGACUGAGAUACGGCACAGGCUCCUACGGGAGGGAGCAGUGGGGAAUACUGCACGAUGGGCGGAAGCCUGAUGCAGCAACGCCGCGUGCGGGAUGACGGCCUUCGGGUUGUAAAACGCUUUCGCCUGUGACGAAGCGUGAGUGAAGGUAAUGGGUACAGAAGCACCGGCUAACUACGUG